CCUACGGGUGGCUGCAGUGAGGAAUAUUGGUCAAUGGGAGAGAUCCUGAACCAGCCAAGCCGCGUGAGGGAAGACGGCCCUAUGGGUUGUAAACCUCUUUUGUCGGAGAACAAAACCCGGGACGUGUCCCGGACUGCGUGUAUCCGAAGAAAAAGCAUCGGCUAACUCCGUGCCAGCAGCCGCGGUAAUACGUAGGGGGCAAGCGUUAUCCGGAUUUACUGGGUGUAAAGGGAGCGUAGACGGCGCUGCAAGUCCGGAGUGAAAGCCCAUGGCUUAACCAUGGUACUGCUCUGGAAACUGUAGAGCUUGAGUGCGGGAGGGGCAGGCGGAAUUCCUAGUGUAGCGGUGAAAUGCGUAGAUAUUAGGAGGAACACCGGCGGCGAAGGCGGCCUGCUGGACCGUAACUGACGUUGAGGCUCGAAAGCGUGGGGAGCAAACAGGAUUAGAUACCCCAGUAGUC
This 460-nucleotide ribosomal RNA is filed under the name uncultured bacterium. Its description in RNAcentral is "partial 16S ribosomal RNA". It matches the Rfam family "Bacterial small subunit ribosomal RNA", at positions 338 to 795 of the family's 1533-position model. The record is from RNAcentral.